GCCCUCGUUGGCCGAGAGGAUCAGGCAGCAGAUUGCAAAUCUGCCAUACAUCGGUUCAAAUCCGAUACGAGGCUCCAG
RNAcentral lists this transfer RNA (78 nucleotides) under Pseudomonas phage K8. RNAcentral's name for it is "tRNA-Cys". It matches the Rfam family "tRNA". From Rfam's summary of the family: Transfer RNA (tRNA) molecules are approximately 80 nucleotides in length. Their secondary structure includes four short double-helical elements and three loops (D, anti-codon, and T loops). Lineage: Duplodnaviria; Heunggongvirae; Uroviricota; Caudoviricetes; Vandenendeviridae. The record is from RNAcentral. RNAcentral also lists the same sequence under 1 other name.